GAUGAAGAACGCAGCGAAAUGCGAUAAGUAGUGUGAAUUGCAGACUUUAGUGAAUCAUCGAAUCUUUGAACGCACAUUGCGCCCCUUGGUAUUCCAUUGGGCAUGCCUGUUCGAGCGUCAUUUACAUCCUCAAGCUCAUGCUUGGUGUUGGGCGUCUGUCCGCGCUUUCGGCGCGGACUCGCCCCAAAUCCAUUGGCAGCGGCUCCGCCGGCUUCUCGCGCAGCACCUUGCGAUCUUGAAGGCUUUCGGCGGGCUCGCGUCCAUCAAGUAACCCCCAAUUUUGACCUCGAAUCAGGUAGGGAUACCCGCUGAACUUAAGCAUAUCAAUAAGCGGAGGA
RNAcentral lists this unclassified non-coding RNA (338 nucleotides) under soil metagenome. RNAcentral's name for it is "partial contains 5.8S ribosomal RNA, internal transcribed spacer 2, and large subunit ribosomal RNA". The stretch from base 1 to 120 matches the Rfam family "5.8S ribosomal RNA", at positions 35 to 154 of the family's 154-position model. The record is from RNAcentral.